AUUUGCAAGGUCUGCGGUUGAAAGUUCAAGCCAGAUGCAGGCAAAAGAAUCCACGUAAGCUUUAGCAAAAAGCCUAAAGUGAGCAUGGUGCAUCUUAGAAGUAAGUCCUGCCACUUUAAAGUGAGAGAGCAAUUAGUGAGAGCAAACCUCAAGCAAAAGCUCCAGCAGGCGAGUGUGGGGUCAAAGACCGGGUCAGCUUGCAAGU
Peptostreptococcaceae bacterium is the source of this 205-nucleotide non-coding RNA. Lineage: Bacteria; Bacillati; Bacillota; Clostridia; Peptostreptococcales; Peptostreptococcaceae. The record is from Rfam.